CAGCACUGAAAAUAAAUAAAUAAACAAACAAUCUAAUGAUGGAUAUGGGUAAAUUUUAGAUUAAAAAAAUCAACAAAAACCAGAAGGAAUGAAUCUAGCUUGGUAGAAGCACGUAAAAAUCAAAUUAUCAGAGAUUUUAGUGGGUGUGGUAGCCAGUCUCCAUGAUAGGCCCAGUGAUUCCAGACUCUUAUCAUUCACAUUGUCUUGCAUCUCCCUCCUGCGAUGAAUAAGUUGAUCUGUAACUAAUAAGACAUUGAGGAUGGGCUGGGGAUGUGGUAGAGUUUAGCAUGUGGUAGGCCAUGAAUUAAACCACUAGGUUAAAACAAAGAUAUUGAAGAAAUAAUGAUAUGUCACUUCCCAGGCUAGGGCACAAAUGAUAUGGCAACCUCUACCUUACUUUCUUUUGGAUCAAUCUCUGACAGUGGUGUGGGGAAGAACUUUCAUGUCAUGAGAACUCUCAACUAGCCCAUGGAGAAGCCCAUGUUGUUGAGGAGCUGAGGUUGUUGACAACCAGAAUGACAAUGUACUCAACCACACACAGAAGCAUCCUAGUCUUUGAUGGCUCAGCCUCAGCCAAUAUCUUAUAUCCAAUCUCGUGAAAGGCCCUGAAUUAGAACCACUUAGAUAAGCUGCUUCCAAAUACCUGACUCACAGAAACUGAACCCCCCACACCCAGAGAGAGAGAGAAAGAGAGAGAGAGAGAGAGAGAGAGAGAGAGAGAAAUAGAUAUAGUGGGGGAGGGGAAGGAAUACGUGGGGAUUGAAACCUGAGCCACAUUCCCAGCUCCUUUUAUUUUAAUUUUGAGAUGGAGUCUUGCUAAGUUACUGAGGGUCUUACUAAGUUGCGUAGCCUGGUCUUAAACUUUCAAUCCUCCUGUUCUAAGCCUCCAAAGCACCAUGUGUGAGCCACUGCAUCCCUUG
This 920-nucleotide long non-coding RNA is filed under the name Marmota monax (woodchuck). The record is from RNAcentral. Lineage: Eukaryota; Metazoa; Chordata; Mammalia; Rodentia; Sciuridae.